RNAcentral lists this transfer RNA (88 nucleotides) under Candidatus Poribacteria bacterium. RNAcentral describes it as "tRNA-Ser". It matches the Rfam family "tRNA". From Rfam's summary of the family: Transfer RNA (tRNA) molecules are approximately 80 nucleotides in length. Their secondary structure includes four short double-helical elements and three loops (D, anti-codon, and T loops). The record is from RNAcentral. Lineage: Bacteria; Candidatus Poribacteria.
GGAGAGAUGCGAGAGCUGGCUGAAUCGGGCAGUCUCGAAAACUGCUGUGCGGGAAACCGUACCGUGGGUUCAAAUCCCACUCUCUCCG